AUUGAACGCUGGCGGCAGGCCUAACACAUGCAAGUCGAACGAGUGGCGGACGGGUGAGGAAUGUCUGGGAAACUGCCUGAUGGAGGGGGAUAACUACUGGAAACGGUAGCUAAUACCGCAUACCAUGAGAUGUGCCCAGAUGGGAUUAGCUUGUGGGUGGGGUAACGGCUCACCAAGGCGGCGAUCCCUAGCUGGUCUGAGAGGAUGACCAGCAGCACGGGAACUUGGACACGGUCCAGGGUCCUACGGGAGGCAGCAGUGGGGAAUAUUGGACAAUGGGCGCAAGCCUGAUGCAGCCAUGCCGCGUGUAUGACGAAGGCCGUCGGGGUGUAAAGUACUUUCAGCGGGGAGGCGUUACCCGCAGAAGAAGCACCGGCUAACUCCGUGCCAGCAGCCGCGGUAAUAC
This 406-nucleotide ribosomal RNA is filed under the name uncultured bacterium. Its description in RNAcentral is "partial 16S ribosomal RNA". It matches the Rfam family "Bacterial small subunit ribosomal RNA", at positions 29 to 526 of the family's 1533-position model. The record is from RNAcentral.